UGCUCUUCAGAAUUCAGAAUUGUCUAUGUGACAUAGUAGUUGAAAGACAAUUUUCAGAAGGAAAAGCUACCUGAGGGAAGAGGGUGACUGCUGCGUAGUCUGUGACCUCAGUGAUUAUGGCUUAGACCCAUGGACCUGCACUGGGCCAAGCUGGUGGUCAUGGCAGGUUCUGUCAAUGACCACUCGUCAAGGCAAGGUGGGGAAUGAAAAUGGCACCUCUAAGCCUUGAAGCAGAGAUCUCUAUCAUGUCAAGAUCUUUCCCUAUUAAGUUCAGGUAAUGUAAUUAAGUAAAAAAAAUGCUUGUCUGAAUAAUUUUGUUUUUGUACCAGCUAAGUUGGGAGAAGUCAUAUGAGUGUGAUUGUGUAGUUGGAAAUGUCUUCCAUAGUUCACUUCAAAAUCUGUCUCUUGGUGAGGUCUCUGGAAGCAAAGAAAUAAAGUGUUUUAUGACAAAUAAAGGCA
RNAcentral lists this long non-coding RNA (459 nucleotides) under Phasianus colchicus (ring-necked pheasant). RNAcentral's name for it is "lncRNA (ENSPCLG00000000156.1)". Lineage: Eukaryota; Metazoa; Chordata; Aves; Galliformes; Phasianidae. The record is from RNAcentral.